This 254-nucleotide ribosomal RNA is filed under the name uncultured bacterium. Its description in RNAcentral is "partial 16S ribosomal RNA". It matches the Rfam family "Bacterial small subunit ribosomal RNA", at positions 524 to 776 of the family's 1533-position model. The record is from RNAcentral.
UACGUAGGGGGCGAGCGUUGUCCGGAUUUAUUGGGCGUAAAGAGCUCGUAGGCGGUUCGGUAAGUCGGGUGUGAAAACUCCAGGCUCAACCUGGAGAUGCCACUCGAUACUGCUGUGACUUGAAUCUGGUAGGGGAGCACGGAAUUCCUGGUGUAGCGGUGAAAUGCACAGAUAUCAGGAGGAACACCGGUGGCGAAGGCGGUGCUCUGGGCCAGUAUUGACGCUGAGGAGCGAAAGCGUGGGGAGCGAACAGG